This is a non-coding RNA of Pelobates cultripes (western spadefoot toad), 1083 nucleotides long. The record is from the annotation of a GenBank genome assembly. Lineage: Eukaryota; Metazoa; Chordata; Amphibia; Anura; Pelobatidae.
CUUAUGGCCAGAAGGAAAAAGCGAAAAGUGACUGUUCAUUUACCUUUACAGACACGAUCAAUCAGACUUUCUAGAUCGAAUGCCCAUUAAGUGGAAUUUCAAGUUGGCAUGUGUCCUCUCCAGUGGCCCUACUUCCCAAGGUCCUUCAGAAAAUCAGAACGGACAAAGCCCUAUUUCUUGCAAUUGUUCCUUAUUGGCCCAUCGUUAGUUGGUUCUCGGAAUAAAGGAUGAUGUCAAUAGCAUUCUGGGAACUAUCGCCAUACUUUCCUCUGCUAGAGGAAAGCUUCCUCCUCUCAAAGCCAUUCAGCUUGGUGGCAUAGCUGCUGCAAGCUUGAUUCUUAAACAUGGUAUUCAAGAAAGCAGAGUUAAUCUACUCCUGGGCUCCACUAGGAAAUUGACAUCUAAAAUUUAUCUGAGAAUUUGGAAAAGAUUUCACUGUUGUGAGGAUCGUGAUUGCCUUCAGGUUUCUACACCCAUAGAUACUAUUCUUUAUUUUCUUCAAGAUGGGUUUUCAUCAGACCUUUAGUGUCUCUACAUUUAAAGAGCAUUUAUUAGCCCUGAGCCGUUUUCUCAUCAAACAUUUAGCUUCUAAUUUAUUGAUUAGAACAUUCUUCAUUUUACUCCUGAAGUCACAUUGUAAAUCCUUUGUUCCAUCUUGGGAUUUAUCUUUACUGUUGAAGGCUUUAUGCGAACCAUAUUUUGAACCUCCGUCAUCAGACAGAGCUCAGGCAGUGGGUGAUUCCGGUCCAAGGCAGAGCGACCCCAUCUACCCUGGGAGGAAACUAGACCGCAGGAAACGAUCAACACCUCAGGACACCCGAGGUCAGGGAAACUCAAUCCAAAGCCUGCUUAAACAUUCUCCUUGUGCUAUGGGGUUACACCAGCCUCAAAAAUUACAGGAUUUAUUGAGUUAUCGACAGAAAAUGUAGGUUAAGCUCUAGAGCGCCCUCACCCACGUCCUGCUAGCUUUAUAGCCGGGCCCAAUCCCACUCUUGAGGCACUAAGCUUCUAAGUAGUCGGGUUAAUGCACUUUCAGGGAAUGUAAUGAGUUUUCAUUUUAAUGAAACCUAUGGAGAAUCUUAC